RNAcentral lists this long non-coding RNA (297 nucleotides) under Vicia faba (fava bean). The record is from RNAcentral. Lineage: Eukaryota; Viridiplantae; Streptophyta; Magnoliopsida; Fabales; Fabaceae.
AUGCAGAUCUCAACAAAUCUGAAGCAUAACCAAGAAACCAAAACAGAAAGCAAUCCACCAAACGAUCUGAACAACACCAAACCGAGCAACCACCUCCAGAGGAGCGGUGCCAGAGAUCUCCCGGUUGAAAGCCAAAGUGAUGGUGUUGACAAUCCAGCGAAGCGUCAGACCAAACCGAUCACUCCGUUUAUAAAAACAGAUCUAAACAAGCUUCUAUCUUUGAGAAAAGCCACGACGGCGGUUUCAACAUCUGUGACGUUGUUACUCCGGUUUGAGUUAGAUGUGGUACGACCUUGA